This is a long non-coding RNA of Tupaia belangeri chinensis (Chinese tree shrew), 1129 nucleotides long. RefSeq lists it as uncharacterized. The transcript has 3 exons. NCBI's taxonomy places the organism in Eukaryota, Metazoa, Chordata, Mammalia, Scandentia, Tupaiidae. The record is from RefSeq and is a predicted model, not a curated record.
CUAUAGCAAAAAACCUCUCUAAAAGAAAAUAUCCAUCUACUAAGGACCAAGGGUCUAGGAGAAUGCCUUCUAGAAGGAAGAUACUACAUUAUAAGGAACUCAGAUGGUCUGGCCUGGUUUCAAACUCUACUGGAACUGCAAACAGACUCGAGAUCUUGUGGCCAAGGAGCUCCUAGAGCCCUGGGGCACUUCCUAUCCGUCCCCCAACACCGUCUAGGACUUUUAAGACUGGGAGCGGGUGUUUCGAUCCGCGGGCAAAGCUUCUUCAAUCGGCGCCUGGGACACGCGUGUCUUAUUCUGGCAGCAGCCUGGGGAACCUUCCCGCCAAACGAAUGCCGACCUUUCUGCAAAGUGUUUUGAAAUCUUCCAAUAAAAACCCAAAUCCUACCAACCACCUCGGGGGCAAAGGGGAUGCGUGACACGGUCAUCAUCGGUGGCUGAGGUGCCUACGUCAGCCAACGCGUUGCUCAUUUAUGCUUUUUCCGCCAAGUGCACAGUUCAAUCCUUCUUGUGCACCCGCGAAAAAGGCAGCUCAAGGAAAAACAAAGCUCGGAGAAAUUUUAAAAUGUGACCUCAGUUUCAAAGAGUAGCACAGAACAAGGGGAAGCACGGAAAACCGUGUUUUCCUCGAAUUGCCAAAAAGCUACCCCUCCGUCACGCCUUGCCUCAGACAAAAAAAAAAAUAAAAAACAAAAACUACGCAGUUAGUCACUGAGUUACUUUCACCGAUAUCUGAGAAUUUUUCACUAAAAGGAAAAGUGAACAAGUGGCAGGAUUUUCGCAAAUUCGGGUCCCCAGCUUCCGCGGCGGCACGCUCGCCGGUCCCUCCCGCUCGUGCGCGCCCGCGCGUUCCCUAGCCAGCCCCACGUUACUUUGAUUGACAGGCCGGCCCCGCCGCUCUCCUUCCAACCGACCUUCCCAUCCUCGGUGCCAAUCUCCGCGUCUCGCCGCUUCCCAUUGGCUGGUUUUGGAGUCGCGCGGCUCCUCCAGGAACAGUUCCUCACCGAGCCCGGGAGGACGCGGCUGGUGGAGGAGGGGGGUGAAGAGGGGGAGACAGGGGAGACGGGGGAGAUGGAAGCUAGCGGGGUGGGAGAGGAGAUGGGAGGGGGAACAGCUUGUCCGGCGCUGC